GGCAAUGAUUCCGGGAAAUGCAGGACAACUCAAGGAAUGUUAAUGAAGUCCGAAAAGGCCCUAGGCCAAAGUCCACCUCAAAGAAAUGUUAAUGAACAGCCCCCAGCAAAAAGGUGCUGACUCAGUCCUUCCUGACCAGAUUACUUCUUUGGCCCACCUGUGUCCCACCCCUCGGUCCUUCCCACCUACAUUCCAUCACUGAAAGAACUAUAAAAAGGGGAGACAACAUCCCUUCCAUGGAUUCCACUUCUUGGG
This 255-nucleotide long non-coding RNA is filed under the name Marmota monax (woodchuck). Lineage: Eukaryota; Metazoa; Chordata; Mammalia; Rodentia; Sciuridae. The record is from RNAcentral.